GAUGAACGCUAGCGGCAGGCUUAAUACAUGCAAGUCGAACGGUAAGGUCUCUUCGGAGAUACACGAGUGGCGAACGGGUGAGUAACAUGUACGCAACCUACCUUGUACUGGAGAAUAGCCCCGGGAAACUGGGAUUAAUACUCCAUAGUCUUCAAUGAUCGCAUGAGAAAUGAAGUAAAACUCCGGUGGUACAAGAUGGGCGUGCAUCCCAUUAGAUAGUUGGUGAGGUAACGGCUCACCAAGUCCGCGAUGGGUAGCUGGCGUGAGAGCGCGACCAGCCACACUGGCACUGAGACACGGGCCAG
Molecule: ribosomal RNA, 305 nt
Filed under: uncultured bacterium
Lineage: Bacteria
Description: bacterial SSU rRNA
Rfam family: Bacterial small subunit ribosomal RNA
Source: RNAcentral